Molecule: ribosomal RNA, 1151 nt
Filed under: Escherichia coli
Lineage: Bacteria; Pseudomonadati; Pseudomonadota; Gammaproteobacteria; Enterobacterales; Enterobacteriaceae
Description: partial 23S ribosomal RNA
Rfam family: Bacterial large subunit ribosomal RNA
Source: RNAcentral
GGUUAAGCGACUAAGCGUACACGGUGGAUGCCCUGGCAGUCAGAGGCGAUGAAGGACGUGCUAAUCUGCGAUAAGCGUCGGUGAGGUGAUAUGAACCGUUAUAACCGGCGAUUUCCGAAUGGGGAAACCCAGUGUGUUUCGACACACUAUCAUUAACUGAAUCCAUAGGUUAAUGAGGCGAACCGGGGGAACUGAAACAUCUAAGUACCCCGAGGAAAAGAAAUCAACCGAGAUUCCCCCAGUAGCGGCGAGCGAACGGGGAGGAGCCCAGAGCCUGAAUCAGUGUGUGUGUUAGUGGAAGCGUCUGGAAAGGCGCGCGAUACAGGGUGACAGCCCCGUACACAAAAAUGCACAUAUUGUGAGCUCGAUGAGUAGGGCGGGACACGUGGUAUCCUGUCUGAAUAUGGGGGGACCAUCCUCCAAGGCUAAAUACUCCUGACUGACCGAUAGUGAACCAGUACCGUGAGGGAAAGGCGAAAAGAACCCCGGCGAGGGGAGUGAAAAAGAACCUGAAACCGUGUACGUACAAGCAGUGGGAGCCUCUUAAUGGGGUGACUGCGUACCUUUUGUAUAAUGGGUCAGCGACUUAUAUUCUGUAGCAAGGUUAACCGAAUAGGGGAGCCGAAGGGAAACCGAGUCUUAACUGGGCGUUAAGUUGCAGGGUAUAGACCCGAAACCCGGUGAUCUAGCCAUGGGCAGGUUGAAGGUUGGGUAACACUAACUGGAGGACCGAACCGACUAAUGUUGAAAAAUUAGCGGAUGACUUGUGGCUGGGGGUGAAAGGCCAAUCAAACCGGGAGAUAGCUGGUUCUCCCCGAAAGCUAUUUAGGUAGCGCCUCGUGAAUUCAUCUCCGGGGGUAGAGCACUGUUUCGGCAAGGGGGUCAUCCCGACUUACCAACCCGAUGCAAACUGCGAAUACCGGAGAAUGUUAUCACGGGAGACACACGGCGGGUGCUAACGUCCGUCGUGAAGAGGGAAACAACCCAGACCGCCAGCUAAGGUCCCAAAGUCAUGGUUAAGUGGGAAACGAUGUGGGAAGGCCCAGACAGCCAGGAUGUUGGCUUAGAAGCAGCCAUCAUUUAAAGAAAGCGUAAUAGCUCACUGGUCGAGUCGGCCUGCGCGGAAGAUGUAACGGGGCUAAACCAUGCAC